UCGUGAAACUGUUUCCUGGCCUCGGCCAGUCGACACUUCAUAACCAAACCCAAACCUCAAAACCAAAGUUUUGACCCAAACCAACCUCCAAUCUGAACCGUAACGGGACGGCCGCAAGGCCUCCCGACGAUUAUCUAAUAAUCAUACGACUUUCAGCGGCGGAUGUCUUGGUUCCCACAUCGAUGAAGAACGCAGCGAAAUGCGAUACGUAAUGCGAAUUGCAGAGUCUUGCGAGUCAUCAAAUUUUCGAACGCACCUGGCACUUCCGGGUAUUCCUGGGAGUAUGCUUUAUAGAGUGUCUGUUGGACCAUCACCCCCUUUUCCCCCGGGACGAGGGCGGCGGAGGUUGCUCGCCACUUCUCUUCGGAGAGGUGAUGAGUCAAGCACUCGAGAUACAAACCGUCGAGACCGACGGGCGUGGUAGCGAUCUUCACGAUCACACAUCCUCCCCGGCGAGAACUUCGGUUGUUCUGACAGAGGAACUGGUGUUGCUUCGGCAUCCCACUGUUCAGAUCUCUAUUGAAGCAAGAAGACCCCCUGAAUUUAAGCAUAU
This 553-nucleotide ribosomal RNA is filed under the name Heterosigma akashiwo. RNAcentral describes it as "eukaryotic LSU rRNA". The stretch from base 148 to 301 matches the Rfam family "5.8S ribosomal RNA". Lineage: Eukaryota; Raphidophyceae; Chattonellales; Chattonellaceae. The record is from RNAcentral.